RNAcentral lists this long non-coding RNA (260 nucleotides) under Gossypium raimondii (Peruvian cotton). RNAcentral's name for it is "long non-coding RNA (GRAI_LNC005525)". Lineage: Eukaryota; Viridiplantae; Streptophyta; Magnoliopsida; Malvales; Malvaceae. The record is from RNAcentral.
ACCAAUUCCACCUCCAAAAUUUGUUCGAAUAGCGCAAGGUUAAUGAAUCCAAAUCACAAGAAAAAGAGAAAAACGUGGGAGAUGAGAAAGAAUGUGAAACAGGAUAGGAAUUUUCGACAAAAGAAAAAAAUAAAACCAAAAUAAAAUUAUUUAUUUUAAAAUAAAAUCCUACUAAAUCUCAACCCCCAUUAUCCCACUAACUAACAAAUCCUACUAAACCAACCCACUAACUCUCAACUACCUCAAAAUUUCACUUUCAC